ACCUGGAAGGAGACAGAACAAGGAUUCCUAAAGAAGGAAGAUCAGGGCUUAAUUUCUAAGAUUAGAAGUGCCGGAGCCCUAUGGAAGACUGUCAGCAAAGAGGAACAAGAGCAAAUAAACAGCAGAGAGGAUCAGAAGCGUCUUGUCAAGAGGAAAGCUUAAGCGAAAAAGGUCAGAUUGUCGCAGUUCUUCAGAGAAAGAAGGGAAGGAGUCGAAAGGUUUCAGUUCCGAAAUUAAAUUAAAAAUAAAAGAGUGACAAUGACAGUGCAGCUGUGCUGGCGAGAACAACGGAGACCUUCAGACUAUCAACUGAUGAUCCAACUCCUGUUCGAACAUCGAAGCCUUUAUCAUUCACGUUAAGAUAGACUUCUAAAACCAACGGAAGAGACUGUUUCACUGUUGAUUGAAUUUUACCAAUAAGUUGUUUAAAACUCGAAGAGGAGAAUAUAGCCUCAACGCAAACAGAAAGAACAGACAUUUUUGUUUAUUAACAAUGGCAACAGUAGCUCAGUUGUUUAAAAAGAACAGACAUUUGACGUCGGCUGUAAUUCUUUUUAGUAUGGUCAGUGACUUUGUCUAAAUAUGCUGUGUUUUUAGCUACAUUUCUUUUUGUGUGCGUCAUAAGAUGAGAAAUAAAAAUGAUUUCUACAAAAAU
Molecule: long non-coding RNA, 655 nt
Organism: Stegodyphus dumicola
Lineage: Eukaryota; Metazoa; Arthropoda; Arachnida; Araneae; Eresidae
Source: RefSeq, a predicted model, not a curated record